Molecule: long non-coding RNA, 905 nt
Organism: Dioscorea cayenensis subsp. rotundata (Guinea yam)
Lineage: Eukaryota; Viridiplantae; Streptophyta; Magnoliopsida; Dioscoreales; Dioscoreaceae
Exons: 6
Source: RefSeq, a predicted model, not a curated record
CCUAGCAAUUCCUCCAGCCCACCGAUCCUCUCCCUCAUCACCUCCUUCAGCGUCGCCGUUGCCGGUGAAGCCACGGCCGGUGCCGACGAUGACGUCCCCGUGCGGGUUUCUUCUCGAUCGAAGCCCUUCGCCAAGAGAACGUCGUUCUUCGCAUAGUUAAGAACGACCUCUCCAAACACCUCUCCAAAAUCCGCAACGGCCGAGCCAUCAGGACUACUGAAGGGGCGGAAGAAGAAGGAGCAACAAAGAGAGGAACUCCAGCGACCGGAUUUCUGGGUAGAGACAUCUAAUUCUUUAUCUCAUCAGUUUCAGUAAAACAAAGCUCAAGAAUGAAGAAUUUGGGUGACUGAAGAAUAUAGCUUUGAUGCUGAUGAAAUGAUGCUCAAUAAGAUUAAGUAAUUUGGUAGCUUCUAUUGCCUUGGAUGGUGAGUUACCAGGUUUGCAUACCAAAGAGACCCCUGGCAUUAGAAAGGAGACAACUACAACGGUGACUAUUUCAAACAAUGAAUAGACCUUGUAUUCACACUGCAAAUGAAGUAGCCUUCAUGAAAAUACAACUUCUAGAAAUUGAAGCGAAGCAAUCAAAUGUACUAGAUCUCUUGAAGGUUCAUCAUCUGGCACACUACAGGCUGAGAUUAGAGAUUUGCAUCAAAUUCGUACUCAAGUCCAAGAUCAUGAGGAGAGGUUCUAACAGACUCUUAGUCAAGUACAAGAUCAUGAGGAGAGGCUUCGACAAAGUUUGCUUGAAAUGAAAGAGGAGAAGGACCAAUAUUGUAAGGAGACGAUGCGUCAAAUGAAGGACAUGAUGAUGAGUUUUGAGAAGAGGAUUCUUCAGCAGUCGUAGUUUACCAAAUAGGACUCACAGCCAUUUAUUGACAAUCAUUAUUUUGAUCUUCAUGAUUUAU